RNAcentral lists this ribosomal RNA (515 nucleotides) under uncultured bacterium. RNAcentral's name for it is "partial 16S ribosomal RNA". It matches the Rfam family "Bacterial small subunit ribosomal RNA", at positions 28 to 523 of the family's 1533-position model. The record is from RNAcentral.
GAUGAACGCUGGCGGCGUGCCUAAUACAUGCAAGUCGAGCGAAUGGAUUAAGAGCUUGCUCUUAUGAAGUUAGCGGCGGACGGGUGAGUAACAUGUGGGUAACCUGCCCAUAAGACUGGGAUAACUCCGGGAAACCGGGGCUAAUACCGGAUAACAUUUUGAACCGCAUGGUUCGAAAUUGAAAGGCGGCUUCGGCUGUCACUUAUGGAUGGACCCGCGUCGCAUUAGCUAGUUGGUGAGGUAACGGCUCACCAAGGCAACGAUGCGUAGCCGACCUGAGAGGGUGAGCGGCCAGACUGGGACUGAGACACGGCCCAGACUCCUACGGGAGGCAGCAGUAGGGAAUCUUCCGCAAUGGACGAAAGUCUGACGGAGCAACGCCGCGUGAGUGAUGAAGGCUUUCGGGUCGUAAAACUCUGUUGUUAGGGAAGAACAAGUGCUAGUUGAAUAAGCUGGCACCUUGACGGUACCUAACCAGAAAGCCACGGCUAACUACGUGCCAGCCGCCGCGGUAA